AAAUUGAAGAGUUUGAUCAUGGCUCAGAUUGAACGCUGGCGGCAGGCCUAACACAUGCAAGUCGAACGGUAACAGGAAGCAGCUUGCUGCUUUGCUGACGAGUGGCGGACGGGUGAGUAAUGUCUGGGAAACUGCCUGAUGGAGGGGGAUAACUACUGGAAACGGUGGCUAAUACCGCAUAACGUCGCAAGACCAAAGAGGGGGACCUUCGGGCCUCUUGCCAUCAGAUGUGCCCAGAUGGGAUUAGCUUGUUGGUGAGGUAACGGCUCACCAAGGCGACGAUCCCUAGCUGGUCUGAGAGGAUGACCAGCCACACUGGAACUGAGACACGGUCCAGACUCCUACGGGAGGCAGCAGUGGGGAAUAUUGCACAAUGGGCGCAAGCCUGAUGCAGCCAUGCCGCGUGUAUGAAGAAGGCCUUCGGGUUGUAAAGUACUUUCAGCGGGGAGGAAGGUGUUGCGGUUAAUAACCGCAGCAAUUGACGUUACCCGCAGAAGAAGCACCGGCUAACUCCGUGCCAGCAGCCGCGGUAAUACGGAGGGUGCAAGCGUUAAUCGGAAUUACUGGGCGUAAAGCGCACGCAGGCGGUCUGUCAAGUCGGAUGUGAAAUCCCCGGGCUCAACCUGGGAACUGCAUUCGAAACUGGCAGGCUUGAGUCUUGUAGAGGGGGGUAGAAUUCCAGGUGUAGCGGUGAAAUGCGUAGAGAUCUGGAGGAAUACCGGUGGCGAAGGCGGCCCCCUGGACAAAGACUGACGCUCAGGUGCGAAAGCGUGGGGAGCAAACAGGAUUAGAUACCCUGGUAGUCCACGCCGUAAACGAUGUCUACUUGGAGGUUGUGCCCUUGAGGCGUGGCUUCCGGAGCUAACGCGUUAAGUAGACCGCCCGGGAGUACGGCCGCAAGGUUAAAACUCAAAUGAAUUGACGGGGGCCCGCACAAGCGGUGGAGCAUGUGGUUUAAUUCGAUGCAACGCGAAGAACCUUACCUGGUCUUGACAUCCACAGAACUUUCCAGAGAUGGAUUGGUGCCUUCGGGAACUGUGAGACAGGUGCUGCAUGGCUGUCGUCAGCUCGUGUUGUGAAAUGUUGGGUUAAGUCCCGCAACGAGCGCAACCCUUAUCCUUUGUUGCCAGCGAUUAGGUCGGGAACUCAAAGGAGACUGCCAGUGAUAAACUGGAGGAAGGUGGGGAUGACGUCAAGUCAUCAUGGCCCUUACGACCAGGGCUACACACGUGCUACAAUGGCGCAUACAAAGAGAAGCGACCUCGCGAGAGCAAGCGGACCUCAUAAAGUGCGUCGUAGUCCGGAUUGGAGUCUGCAACUCGACUCCAUGAAGUCGGAAUCGCUAGUAAUCGUGGAUCAGAAUGCCACGGUGAAUACGUUCCCGGGCCUUGUACACACCGCCCGUCACACCAUGGGAGUGGGUUGCAAAAGAAGUAGGUAGCUUAACCUUCGGGAGGGCGCUUACCACUUUGUGAUUCAUGACUGGGGUGAAGUCGUAACAAGGUAACCGUAGGGGAACCUGCGGUUGGAUCACCUCCUUACCUUAAAGAAGC
RNAcentral lists this ribosomal RNA (1553 nucleotides) under Salmonella enterica. Its description in RNAcentral is "bacterial SSU rRNA". It matches the Rfam family "Bacterial small subunit ribosomal RNA". Lineage: Bacteria; Pseudomonadati; Pseudomonadota; Gammaproteobacteria; Enterobacterales; Enterobacteriaceae. The record is from RNAcentral.